This 253-nucleotide ribosomal RNA is filed under the name uncultured bacterium. Its description in RNAcentral is "partial 16S ribosomal RNA". It matches the Rfam family "Bacterial small subunit ribosomal RNA", at positions 524 to 776 of the family's 1533-position model. The record is from RNAcentral.
UACGUAGGUGGCAAGCGUUGUCCGGAUUUACUGGGCGUAAAGAGCGCGCAGGCGGUCGGAUAAGUCGAAUGUGAAAGCCCCCGGCUCAACUGGGGAGGGUCAUUCGAUACUGUUCGACUCGAAGGCAGGAGAGGGAAGUGGAAUUCCCGGUGUAGUGGUGAAAUGCGUAGAUAUCGGGAGGAACACCAGUGGCGAAGGCGACUAUCUGGGCUGCAACUGACGCUGAGGCGCGAAGGCUAGGGUAGCAAACAGG